RNAcentral lists this long non-coding RNA (13537 nucleotides) under Vitis vinifera (wine grape). RNAcentral's name for it is "long non-coding RNA (VVIN_LNC002633)". The record is from RNAcentral. Lineage: Eukaryota; Viridiplantae; Streptophyta; Magnoliopsida; Vitales; Vitaceae.
AAGGUUUGAGCCACUGAAUUCUUCUUUCCCUCCAUUGGAUGACAUGUUUUGCAUAGAAAUAAAUUUCCCUGUUUUAGUGUUGAUUUUGUACCUCCUUCAUUUUCUUCUUUUAUGGUUUGCCUCCUGCAAGGAAACAUGGCAAUGUCUCUUACCUCUUACCAUAGAAGCAAGCCAAGUCUAAGCUUCUUCCCUUGGUCUCCUCAAGUAAAAGUCUCAUGCAUACUUUGGUUUGGACUUCAAGCAUAGCCAUUAACACUGCUGUUCUUAAGAUUAUAGAGUGUGCAUAUAUCCUCGUUUUUCAUUUACUAGUAUGGUUUUUUUCCUUUCAUUUGCUUUAUUUUCUUCAUAUUUGCUUUACUGUUUGUAACUUAAAUGCAAAUUCGAAACUUAAUAAAUUAUGUUCAACAAAUGCAGUCAUAUAUACUUCACUUUUGAUUUCAAACAGAGCCAUUAUUAUCAUUGCUGUUCUUGAGAUUACCAACUGUACACAUAUCCUCAUUUUCAUUGACACUGUGUUCUUAUCUUCUUCCUAUUUGCAUUAUGGUUUUUGACUUCAAAACUCUCUAGUUACAUUUUAUAAAAAUGUAACAGGUAAAUAAGGAGAUUGUGAAGAUCCAGAGAGUGACUGCCCCUGUGGGGCAGAUGCAGCUAAAGAGCCUGAUUGAAGCCCAUGUUGUAAGUACACUUAGUUCUUCAUAUUUGACAAUAGUCCCUUAAGGAGGCCAAGAAAGUGUUUUUGAAAACAGCUUUGAAAAAUUGUUUUUGUGAACUGUUCUUUAAUAUUUAGUAAAACAGGAAUUUGAAAUGUGUUUGACCUGUUUUCUAUGUUUUUUAAUAUUUUUUUAAAAUAACUUUUAUCAGUAUUGUUUUAUUUUCAAUCAUUUUCCAUAUUUGUAUAAUUAUUUUUUAAAACAACAUUAAAAAAUAGAUGAAAACAAUUGAAACCAAUUAAAAUAUGUUCUCAAAAAUCACAAUGUUUUAUGUUUUUAAGAACAAAAAACUAUUUUCCAUUUUCUGAUUACCAAACAUUUUUCAUUUUUUUGUUCUUAAAAACCAAAAACUGUUUUUAAAAAUAGCUUCCAAACAUGCCUUAAGCCUUUUCUAAGCAUAUACCCUUAUCUGCGGCACUCUUGAGCAUAUAUACCAUAUUGAUGUACACUUCUGAGUCAUUAUAUUUAAUGUGUGAAGGAAAAAACUGGAAGCAGCAAAGGCUCAGCUAUUUUGAAGGAGUGGGAUACAUACCUGCCUCUCUUCUGGCAACUGGUUCCUCCCAGUGAGGAAGACACCCCAGAAGCUAGCGCAGAGUUUGAGAGAACCGAUGCUAGCCAGGUGACGUUGCAGUCAGCUUAAUACGAUAAUAAGACAAUACCCUGCAGCCAGUGACAUGAUUUCAAAAGUUGCACUGCAUGGAAACAUGUGAGAACUGGGAAGAUGGAUAUUCUUCAGCUGGAAAAUACAGGUUAAAUAAUGGGGAUAUGGCGAAAUGGCUCAAAUCACAGGGUUACAAAAAUUGUUAAAGAUAAUUUUCAUUGCCUUCAGUUGGAGACCCUGAUUUGUUCAUAUGGAAAAGCAUUUGCAUUCCCACUCCAGUUGUGUAUAGAACAGCUGCUAGAAACUGUAAAUCUUUUAGGAACUUUCAUGGAAAUUCCUCACUGUUCCAUUCGUUAAAGUAAAAAAAAAAAAAAAAAAAUUGCUGGAUGGCCAUUUGAACUAUUGUUCUUCCAUUGAUUGCUGUAUUCAGGGAGAAGUUUGAUCAAUGAAUCCCUUCAAAUAUGGGAUUUGGAAUCAAAUAAUGGCAUAUUUUGCAUGGUAACUCUUUUCAUGCCCAGGUGUACGUACCCGAUACAGUGGCAUUCUUGUUAUUUUAUGAGGAGACAAUACCUAAAUGUAAAUUACCAAUGAAUGCUUAAAUGUCCCAAAUUUUUAUUCAGACGUUAUUGUAUUUGGAGAGAACAAAGAGCUGCAUAGUUACUAAAGAAAUAAUUUACUGAUGCAUCUUGGAAUUUGGAAGUCGGACUAUUUAACUAGCUUGGGUUCAAUCUCGAGCAGCCACAAGAUCUCAGCUGGCCGAAGCCUAGCUGGAAACAAUCCAAUACACCAUUCGACUCGCUCAUUGCAGCUCUGCUCCUAUUCUAAUGAAAUAAUCACGGUGUUUGUAUUUGAUAUUUCAUGUAAAUUUUCUUUCUUUUUUUUAUUAUUUCCAUUUUUUUUCAAAUAUAGAUAUGUUUCAUCAACCUUGAAAUUGAUUAGUUUACCUAACCUUCGCAGAAAGAAUUAUAGCAUUUUGUAGAUGGUCUUAACCAUUUUCGACUACUUCUUUAAGAGUCGUUGUUCAAGCAAUGUGUAAUGGUAUUAAACUAAUUAGUUUAAGUUGAUAAUUUUAUUUUAAAUAUUAUUGAAUUCGACCUUACAUACUCAAAACUUUUAAGUUGAGAGUUGAAGAUGCCUGAUCCAUGUUGAUUUAUUCUAAGGAUUAUUUAGGUAAAUGGGGUUAAGUUGUUCUAAUGAUACUGUGGACUUGGAAAUCUCUUGAAGCGAUCGUCUUAAUGAACAAAGGUGUAGGUACACAUAAUAAUAUAUAAAUAAAACUUAACUUAAUAAUGCAAAGCACUCAUCUUAUUCAAGGGAAGUCAUCCAUAAAAUUAUUCAAAGGAAGUCAUCCAUAAAAUCAUCCAAAUAUUGACGAUGAUGAUAACAUGGAAAGAAAAUCAUCACACUAAAAAAUCAUAACAUAUUGGUGAUUAUGACUAGUCCAAAUUUCACUUAUGUUUCAAUGUUGGCAUGGCUCAAAAUUUGAAAUUUUAUUAAAAUAUUGUAUGAUAUUCUUGAAAUUUCAAACCUUGGACCAUGUUAAUAUUUUAUAACUUUUGUGGAUCAACUACUAGAAUUUUGGAUAUAUCCCUAUUUUUUUUUUUUUCAAAAUUGAAAAAAUAUAUAUUUUUUUAUACAAAUAAUUGAGACUUGUUUAUCUAUAUCAUAGACAAAACUAUAACCUCUUUAAAACAUUUUCUACCUAAAAAGCUCCUCCUAAAAUAUUUACAUUCCCUAACAAACCAAAAAGUCCCUCCAAAAACCGAUGAUGUCAUUUCAAUUUAUAACAACUCAAUUUCCCUUGUAUCUCAAUCAUGUCUUCUUAAUUAAUAUGAUUCAUUCCCCCUUAAUAAUGAUUACUAUUUUGUGUUGUCUUUUUGGACCCUUAAAUUUCUGUAUCUCUAGUUUCUUCAUGCAAGAGAAAAAUGGUUUCCAUCUCCCAUUUGUAAGGUACAAACCUAUAAAUUCUCAACUCCCAAAUCGUAUUAAUUUUUUUCAAUAUCAUUAUUUUUCUUGUUUUAAAAAAGCAAUAUGAUUUAAAAUAAAAAAAUAAAAAUUCCCUACCUUAAAUUUCAAAUUUUCAAAACAACUAUGCAAUCAUAUUGUUAGGAAAAUCCAUUAGCAAUUAAUUGAGUUUUGUACCGUUUAAUCGAAAUAUCAAAUACCAAGUAUCAAUUUUAUACAAAGUUGAAAAUUUCUCAAUCAUUGCUUGGAAGACGUCAAGAAGAACGUAGGAGAUGAGAAUUCACAAUCUCAUAAGAUGUUAAAGUAGCCAUAAAAGGAGAAAAAUGAGCAAGAGAAUCAAAAACCAAAGUUUCAAUUUUUGCAUAAAAACUACUUGCAUCAUCCAAAAAAUGAUCAAUGCAGACAAGUUCAAACUAAGAGAUAUUAUGAAACUAGUAGAAAUAGGAAAGGUACAUGUUCAAAGAAGUAGUAGAAGAUGAAAAACUACAACUAUCAAGAAAAGAGAGAAGACAACACAAAACUAAACCAUCAAGGAUAAAAGUUGAUAUAAAACUAUCAAGAAAGAGAGAUAAAAAAGGACACGAAAUCAUAGAAAUAAGACAGAUAGACAAAACUUAGAUUUAGAUUCAAAAAAUAAAGACUAAUAGAAUUUAGAUUCAUAUUAUUUCCAUUUUUUUUAAAUAUAAAUAUGUUUCAUCAACCUUAUGAUAUGAUGAAAUUGAUUAGUUUACCCAACCUUCGUAAAAAGAACUAUAGCAUUUUGUAGAUGGUCUUAAUUAUUUUCGACUGCUUCUUUAAGAGUCGUUGUUUAAUGUGUUACAGUAUUAAACUAAUUAGUUUAAGUCGAUAAUUUUAUUCUAAUGUGUUACGAUAUUAAACUGAUUAGUUUAAGUUGAAUUUUUUUUUCUAAAUAUUAUUGAAUUCGACCUUACAUACUUAAAACUUUUAAGUUAAGAGUUGAAGAUAUGAGAUCCAUAUUGAUUUAUUCUAAGGAUUAUUUAGGUAAAUAUGGUUAAGUUGUUUUAAUGAUAAUGAUAUUGUGGACUUGGAAAUCUUUUGAAAUCUUUUGAAGCGUUCGUCUUAAUGAACAAAGGUGUAGGUACACAUAAUAAUAUAUAAAUAAAACUUAAUUUAAUAAUGCAAAGCACUCAUCUUACUCAAGAGAAGUCAUCCAUAAAAUCAUCCAAAUAUUGACGAUGAUGAUCAAAUGGAAAGAAAAUCAUCACACUAAAAAAUCAUAACAUAUUGGUGAUUAUGACUAGUCCAAAUUUCACUUAUGUUUCAAUGUUGGCAUGGCUCAAAACUUGAAAUUUUAUUAAAAUAUUGUAUGAUAUUCUUGAAAUUUCAAACCUUGGACCAUGUUAAUAUUUUAAAACUUUUGUGGAUCAACUACUAGAAUUUUGGAUAUAACCCUAUUUUUUUAUUUUCAAAAUUGGAAAAAUAAUUUUUUUUAUUCAAAUAAUUGAGACUUGUUUAUCUAUAUUAUAGACAAAACCAUAACCUCUUUAAAACAUUUUCUACCUAAAAAGCUCCUCCUAAAAAAAUUACAUUCCCUAAUAAUCCAAAAGGUCCCUCCAAAAACCGAUGAUGUCAUUUCAAUUUAUAACAACUCAAUUUCCCUUGUAUCUCAAUCUAGUCUUCUUAAUCAAUAUGAUUCAUUCCCCCUUAAUAAUGACUACUAUUUUGUGUUGUCUUUUUGGACCCUUAACUCUCUGCGCCUCUAGUUUCUUCAUGCAAAAGAAAAAUGGUUACCAUCUCCCAAUUGUAAGGUACAACCUAUAAAUCUCAACUCCCAAAUAAUAUUUUUUUUUUUUCAAUAUCAUUAUUUUUCUUGUUUCAAAAAGCAAUAUGAUUUUAAAAAAUAAAAAUAAAAAUUCCCUACCUUAAAUUUCAAUAUUUUUAACCAUUUUAUAUGUUAAAUAUUCCAAUAGGAAAUUUUCUUGUAAGAGUUGUUCCCUUUGUUUCGAUCAUUGAUCACGCCUAGAGUCUUUGCUGCCUUGUGAUUUUCUAUAGCUUUACAAAAUACUAGUGCCUAAAUCACCACACAUCUUAAGCCUAUCCCCUAUAUUUGGGUCCCGAGAAUACUUUUUAAAAAAUAUUUACUUUUAUUUAAUUUAUUCUAAAAAAAAUCAAAUACAAUUAAAUUUAACUAAAAAUUAUAAUAUGAAAAUCCAAAUACAAUUAAUUUUUGUUGAAAUCCAAAAAAGAUUCAAAGAGAACAAAAGAUAAAAAUAAAAUAAAAUAAAAUAAUCUAUGAUUUCUUAUUAUGAAUUAUUUUUAAAAAAAGUACAACAUCAUUGGAAUUUAAAUAAAUCUAAUAAAGGGAAAUAAAUAUUAAUUUACCCUUACUUCUUAAAAAAAAUUAAUAUAGUAACUAAAUAAAUAAGAAAUAUAGUAACUAAAUAAAUAACACAAGAAGCAUCAAGAGUUUGUCAACCAAAAAUCGAAAACGUGGAAGUAGGUAUGACUUAGUAAACAACUCUACAAUCAUAUUGUUAAGAAAAUUUCUUAGCAAGUAAUCAAGUUUUGUACUAUUUAAUCGAAAUACCAAAUACUAAGUCUCAGUUUUAUGCAAAGUUGAAAAUUUCUCAAUUAUUGCUUGGAAUAUGUCGAGAAGAACGUAGGAGACGAGAAUUGAAAGAUAUUAAGAGGAGUAAUUGUUGAAUUAUUGAUAUGUGUUGAUUAAACACAUUGAAUGGGGUUUAUAUAUCAUAAACAUCCCAAACGAUUACAAAAAAUAUCCCACAAAACGUGGUCAAGUUAGUUACAAUGAAAACAAAUAUUUGAAUACAUUAGAAAUAAUAUGUUACAACAAAAAACUAAUAGCUAAAGAAUAGCUCCUAUGAUUGGGUUUGAAUACGCCCCCGCAAGAUGGCAAUUCCAUCUGAAAUGCCAAUCUUGGAGCGAAGAAAAAGGAACCGACCUUUGGAGAAAGGUUUAGUAAGGACAUCAGCCAACUGGGAGUGAGUGUUAAUAUGAGCAACUUUAAGAGAACCAUCAACAACUUUUUCCCGAACAAAAUGGUAAUCCAACGCGAUGUGCUUCAUUCGACUGUGGAAUAGCGAAUUUACACACAAAUAUGUGGCAAUUAAAUUAUCACAAUAAAUAGUAGGAAAUUGUUGAAGAGUGAUACCAAGCUCAGAACGAAGAUGAGAAACCCAAGUGACUUUAGCAGCGAUAGAAGCGACGGCCCGAUACUCGGCCUCUGUUGAAGAAUGAGCUACCGUCUUCUGUUUCUUUGAACACCAAGAGAUUGGAUUGCCACCAAGAAAAAGAACAAAAACAGUGGUAGACUUGUAAGAAUCUUGGUUGCCAGCCCAAUCGACAUCGGAAUAAGCUCGAAGAUCAAGAGGUGGAGUGACAUCUGAAUAAGCUUGAAGAUGGAGAUGUUGUUUUCGUCGGAAAGUGAGACCAAGAUGUAUUGUAUGUUUGAGGUAACGGAGCAACCUCUUAGAUGUAGUCCAAUGAGUUUGAGUUGGGGCAUGCAUGAAUUGGGCAAGUUUGUUGACGGCGAAAGCAAUAUCAGGACGAGUGAACUGGAGAUAUUGAAGUCCACCAACCAAGCUCCGAAAUUGAGUAGCAUUAGCUAGAGGAGAACCAUCAUUGAGAGUUAGAUGGCCAAUUGAAGACAUUGGGGUGGAAGAAUCCUUUAUGCCUUCCAAAUGAAACUUUGCCAACAAGUCACAAACAUAUUUAUGUUGAGAUAAAAACAUGCCAUCAGAAGUGGAAAUGACCUCAACUCCCAAAAAGUAGCUCAAAGGACCAAGAUCCUUUAGGGAAAAACGAUGAGCAAGAGCAUCAACGAACUUCCAAAUGGACUGAGAACAAUUUCCUGUUACAAGUAAAUCAUCCACAUAUACUAGAAAAUAAAUUGUGACUGACCAACAUUGAUAGAUGAAUAAUGAAGUAUUAGAUUUAGAAUUGACAAACCCAAAGUUGAAGAGAAAUGUCUUUAACUCUGUGUACCAAGCUCGAGAGGUUUGUUUCAAACCAUAAAAAGCCUUUUGCAAGCGGCAAACAUGAGUAGGAUUAUCCUGAUCAACAUACCCAAGUGGUUGAGCCAUGUAAACAUCCUCAGUUAAAUUUCCAUGAAAAAAAACAUUAUUAACAUCAAGCUGUGAAAUAGGCCAACCGUUACUCAAGGCAAUGGAUAGAACAACUCGAAUGGUGGUUGGCCUAACAACUGGGCUAAAAGUGUCAUGAUAAUCAACCCCAGGGCAUUGAUGGAAUCCUUUGGCAACCAAACAAACUUCGUAUCAAGAAAUAGAACCAUCCGGAUUUCGUUUGACACGAAACACCCAUUUACACCCCACAAUGUUAUGGUUGGAAGGAGGAGGUACAAGAACUCGUGUACGGUUGCGAGCAAGAGCAUCAAGCUCAUCAUCCAUGGCAGCACACCAAUUGGGAUCUCGAAGAGCUUGAGAGGCAGUGGUAGGCUCAAGGGACGCAGGAAGAGGAUGUUUGGUGACAUGAAAACUUGUCUUAAAGCUAGGAAACUGUUUGGGACAACGAAUAUUAUUUUGAGAAUGGGUUACAAUUCGAUGAGAUGGCUCGGGCGGAGGAUUGGACCCUUAGGUUUAGACAGGUGGUGACAAGGACAAAGAUGGAGAGGAAAGGAAGAGAUCAUACCUUGGAGUAGCAUCACACACCGAGAGAGAAGAUGAAGUCGUAGUAGGUGGACUGGAACUAGCAGGAGAACGUGAUGAGAGCAGCUCCUGAUUAGGCCGUGUGGUAGUGGAAGAAGGUCUUUGGUGCGGGAAAGAUUUGGAGGGAGUGGGAACCACAAAAAAGAAGGUUGGAUAGCAGCAAGAGCUGGAGAACACGAAGACCAAGUGGAGACAACUUGGUCAAGAUCUGUAGGCGAAGUAUUUGAGGCAAGAGGAAAUUGAUGUUCUUUUUACUUGUUAUGGUUACCAUUGUUGUUGAACUUUCUUCCUUGGUGAUUACGGUUUUUAAAGAAUCUCUUCCCAUUAUAACUUUGUUCAUUGCCAUAUCGAGGUUGGGUGUUGCCAAGACUUGUGCGAGUCUUAUUCACAAUGACAUUUGAACCACCACGCGACUCUUCUCUUUUCAAGAAAGCUUCAUGUUCUACCAACUUGUCAUGAAGUUCUUCAAAUGAACAGGAGUGUCUCGAGCUCUUAUUGCAGUAGAAAUAUCCUUAAAGCCACUACCAAGGCCAUUGAGAGCAAAAAUAGUCAGAUCAUCAUCACUUAAAUGAGUGUCAAUGAGAUCUAGCUCAUCAGUAAUUCCUUUGAUGGUUUGAAGAUACUCUGCAACAGAAUGAGUAUUGCAAGUGAUGUUGGUAAGCUUCUCCUUGAGAUUCAUUACUCGUGAUCUGGAUUUGUUAGCAUAAAGCUUGUGAAGCUUUACCCAAGCAUCACGAGAAGAAGUAGCAGCAGCAAUCAAAGGCACAACUCCUUCUAAAAGAGAUGCAAAGAUUGUGUGAAGGAGCAAUUUGUCUUGCCUAGUCCAAAUAGCAAAAUUUGGAUUUGGAACAGUUGUUCCAUUUUUAGCAAUAAUUUCCUUGGAUGGGCAUGUCUUAGUCCCAUCAAGAAAUCCCAUGAGGUCAUAACCAUAUAAUAGGGUGUCAAAUUGUGCUUUCCAAUAGGGAAAGUUGUUGCUAUUCAAUUUGAUGGGUAGUUAGGCAUUUGCAUUCAUGGAGAUAAUUCCAUCAAAGCAAGAAGUAGAAGAGAUGAAUCAUACAUUGGUUCUGUUGGUUGUGUUUUCGGCCAUGGUGCAGGAUAUUUGCAAAGAGAGGUUUUGAAUCAAGAAAAAAAAAACUCGUUAGAGUCUUUACUGCUCUGAUACCAUGAAAGAUAUUAAGAGGAGUAAUUGUUGAAUUAUUGAUAUGUGUUGAUUAAACACGUUGAAUGAGGUUUAUAUAUCAUAAACAUCCCAAACGGUUACAAAAAAUAUCCCACAAAACGUGGUCAAGUCAGUUACAAUGAAAACAAACAUUUGAAUACAUCAGAAAUAAUAUGUUACAAUAGAAAACUAACAGCUAAAGAAUAGCUCCUAUGAUUGGGCUUCAAUAAGAAUCCACAAUCUCAUAAGAUGUUAAAGUAGUCAUAAAAUGAGAAAAAUAAGCAAGAGAAUCAAAAACCAAAAUUUCAAUUUUUGCAUAAAAACCACUUGCAUAAAAACCACUUGCAUCAUCCAAAAAAGGUUCAAUGCGGACAAGUUCAAACUUAGAGACAUUAUAAAACUAGUAGGAAUAGGAAAGGUAUAUGUUCAAAGAAGUAGUAGAAGACAUAAGACUAAAACUAUCAAGAAAAAAAAAGAAGUCGACACAAAACUAAACUAUCAAAGAUAAAAGUUGAUAUGAAACUAUCAAGAAAAAAAGGCAAAAAAAGACAUGAAAUCAUAGAAGUAAGAGAGAUAAACAAAAUUUGGAUUCAUAUUCAACAAAUAAAAACUGAAAAAUUUGAAUUCAUAUCCAACAAACAAAAACAGAUAAAAUUUGGAUUCAUAUCCAACAAACAAAAUUUAGAUUCAUAUCUAACAAACAAAUAGAGGAAAUACUAAAUUAGAUUGCAUGUACAAUUUUUCCAAAUGUUUUCAGAUCUUUUUGGUAGUUUAUACUUCAUCAACUAUAUAUCUAUCGAAUUAUUAAUAGAGCUGUUGAUCCAAAUAAUAAUUUUCAAAUUUCUUGUUUUCCAAACAUCUAACUCUUCUACAUAUAUUUUAUCUUUUCAUUUAUAAGUUUGCAUAGAGUACCAAUAAUAUAACCUUAUAUAUUUUUGCCAUUUAUUAAAUUAUUUAUCACAUAACUUUAAUAGGAAUAAAUUUUUCCAUCCAAUAUCACACCAAUAGAUUGAAAGGUAGUUACCAAACAAAAGAAAGUAGAUAUGAAGAAGAAAAAAAACGAAUAUAAAAUCAAAUAAUGAGAUUAAACAAAAAAAGAAUGAUAUAGUCACCCACUAUGAUAUCCCAUAAUCAAACAUGAUAAAAAAGAAUUUCAUAAUCAAAUAGAAACGAAAGCGUUGUAUGAGAUUAAUCUCUUUUUAGAUCAUAAAUAAAAAAUCUCAUUAAAGAUGCAAAAAUGUGGCUCAAAUCCACAACCUCCGGUUGAACCAAGCUCUGAUACCAUGCUAAAAUCCAAAAAAAAUCAAAGAGAAAAAUAGAAAAUACAUCAUUGAAAUUUAAAUAGAUUUAAUGAAGGAAAUAAAGACUAAUUUACCCUUACUUUUAAAAAGAAAAAAAUAAUUAUAAUAUAGUAACUAACUAAAUAAAUAAAUAUAUAGUAAGUAAAUAUAUUAAUAUCUUCUAAUUUUUUUUAUUGUUUUUCCUUUCUUAUUAAUUUUCAUUGCAUUUUCUUUCUAAACUUCUUAAACCAAACACAACAAAAUCCCCAACCUUGCAUAAAAUAAAUACUCCCCUUGAUGGGACGAGUUUAAAAUUUAAAUAAACAAAUUAGAAGUUUGAAUUUUUUUUUAAAACUUGGGACAUGUUAGGUUGGGUUUUGGUAUUGUCUUAUCCCGUUGUAUCCCACCUUGAUUACAUAUAAAGUUAAUUUUAAAAAAUAAAAUAAAUUAAUUUAUUUUUUAUUAUUAAUAAUAUAAUAAUAACAACAACAACAACAACGUGCUUUUCAAUAAAAUAAGUCAUAAAAUUAUGAUAUUUUAAUUAUUUAUAAAAUGUAUUUAUUUUAAUGUAUUUAAUAAUAAAAAUAAAAUAAUUCAAAAAAAAAAAUUGAACAAGGCAAGAUGAGUGUGGAAAAUUUGCAUACCCAUCUCGUCCCUUUUCCACUCGUUGAAUUUUUUUAAUGGAACAACUAUGAUGGGUUAUUUUGAAUAAAUGAGACAAGAUUGAGAUGAGAAUGAUCCGUCCCAAACCUACCCUGUUGUUAUCCGUAUGCACGUGGGUACGUCAUCACAUGAACGCAAAUAACACAUAUUUAACCCUUAUUUUCAUAAUUGAAAAUUAUUAACAUUAGAAAGUCUAUCAUUUAAACAAAAUAUAGGAGAUUAUAUGUUUGGUUUUAGAAAAUUAUUAAAGAAAAAAAUUAGAUAAAUAGUUUUUUCAUAUUUUGUUUCACUAUAAAAAAUAUAGGAAAGAAAAAUCAAGUAUAAUUAUAAUUAGUUAGGAAUAUAUACAUUUUAAUAUUAUUUAAUAUUUAUAUGAUCUAUAAUAAUAAGUGAUUUAAAUUUAAAGAAAUAUAUAAAAAUAUUUUAUUGAUUUUAAAUCUAAAUUUUCUUUUUACUUUCCUCUUUAUUUUCUUUCUCUUUUUUUUUCUUAUAUUUUUAUCACAUUUUUCGGAAGCAAACAUAACGUGAAAUAAUUUCUUUAAGUCACUCAAUUGUCGGGAUAAAUUUUAAAAUAUUGUAUUAAAAGGCCGAUUUCGGCCAUGAGAAUUUGUGUAGGAGUUGAUUAUUUGAUUUCCCUCUAUUCUUUUAGGGCUUACACAAAAAAAAUAAAAAAUAAAAAUAGAAAUAAAAAUCUUUCGCACAACCAAAUGGUUAUGGGACGGAGAAUUCUAGGUGGCCAUCAUUUAAAAAAAAAUAAAAAAAUUCUGUCCUAUUCGACAACGAGAAAUUGACAAAACUAUCACCAGUUUAGGCGGCAGAAAUGUAUAGACAAGUCCAAGUCCUGGCUGCAUUUCGGGGAAAGAACAUUAUUCACAGCGUCUCCAACAUGACCAAUACCAAAGACCAAGACAAAGACCAUUUCAGUGGAGGAGGUGAAGCGAGUGGAGUAUUGAAACCUAACUACUUUGAGGUGGCUUUUGCAAGUCGGAAACCGCCCAAUUACCACAAACCUACCAAAUACAGAUGUAUGUGACGCCCACAGCAAAUAAUAUUGAAAGUUGAAACCAUCUUCUCUUAGCUUCUUUUGUUUUGAAAAGAACACCAACACCCAGGUUCCACCACCUGUCCUAUUGCUGCCUAUUUUAUUUUUAUCUACAAAACACACCCUCUCUUCCCUCACCCUUUUGACUCUUCUCCGUCCCCUCCUAUUUUCUUUUCUUUUUUUAAUUUUAAGUUUGAUCAAACUCUUAAGGCCGCGUUUGGGAGGGUAAGCGGUUUGGGAGAAAUUGCAUCUUUUUGGGUGUUUGGCAUCAUUGUAUGGCAUAUGAAAGGAUAUGAGAAGAUAUGAGGGUAGAGUGGUAGAGUAGUAGGAGGAGGUAGCUUUUGCUGCUUUUGGAUGGGAAAAUAGAAAUUCUGGAACACGCAUCAGUAAAUGUACAAGUCUAGUAAUAAAUACCACAUUAACUUCAGAUUCACGCUCCGCUUACGCUGCAUUACUCUUCUCUCACCUUCUCCUUCUCCUCUUGGUCCCACAAUUGUCCUCACCAUCAUCCUUCCUUCCUCAUCUCGCGCCGCUCUUCUUCUUAACUCGCAAGAAGAAUUGUUCUGUAUGUCCGUACCAACCAUUUCUCUCGAUAAAAUAAUAGAAAAAGGUGAAAAAAAACUCUCAACCUUCUAAGAAAAAGGAAAAAGACAAAAAUUCUACAGACCACUUCACAUAGAGUUUCUUAUCACAAGAAAUAUAUCAGACUGAGAGAAAGGUUUUACAGAGAAGAGAGUUGAUCACAAACGGUGCAUGUAGCAAUGAAGCAUGUACCUAUGGACAGGGCGCAGAUUCCGAGGAUCAGACAGCAGAGGUGGCGACGUUGGGGACCUGAGUGGGCGAGAAGGCCAGGAGCAUGAGGACAGCCAUGAUCACCACCGGAACGAAGAGAAGGAGCAACGGCGGAGGAGGCAGCGGCGGCAAAACUAAGGGCAGAAGCAACAUAGAAAGAGUGAGAAACACCAUAACCAUAAUCGAUCUCGCACUGAAGAACCUGACCAUCAAACUCUGCAACAACUGUGUAUACGAAUGGUCUUCUCUCGAUCUAAUAGCUGCCAAGGAUUGAGGCCAUGCAUCAUCGUCGCGAACACGCCUCAGAUCUCGGCGAAAUGGACGAUCACUGAUGAGGAGCCGGAGAAAGAAAGAAAUAGAGGAAAAUGUGAGAUGGUGAAAGAAGCAGAGAGGGUUUGUAUUUAUAUUUAUAAAGAGAGAGAAAGAGAGAGAGUGCGAAGAGAGAGAAUGUUGAAAGGGACUUGAGAUAGGAAGAAGAAUUGGGAACAGACUAGAGAGAGGGGAGAGGAAGGGAUAUUAAAAAAAGUGAGAAAAGGAGGAUGUGGGUUGCCGUUACCGAUUCAAGUCGCUACCGGUCAUCUUCAAUGCCCGGGACCCAACCAACCAUAACGUACAUUGUACAUCCAUUCUUACUUGUUACUUUACUCGAUUCAUUUCAUUUGGGCACUGCCCCACCUCC